GUUGUAAACCUCUUUCAGUAGGGAAGAAGCGAAAGUGACGGUACUAGAGGAAUCAGCAUCGGCUAACUCCGUGCCAGCAGCCGCGGUAAGACGGAGGAUGCAAGCGUUAUCCGGAAUGAUUGGGCGUAAAGCGUCCGCAGGUGGCAGUUCAAGUCUGCUGUCAAAGACCGGGGCUUAACUUCGGAAAGGCAGUGGAAACUGAACAGCUAGAGUAUGGU
RNAcentral lists this ribosomal RNA (218 nucleotides) under uncultured bacterium. RNAcentral's name for it is "partial 16S ribosomal RNA". It matches the Rfam family "Bacterial small subunit ribosomal RNA", at positions 422 to 652 of the family's 1533-position model. The record is from RNAcentral.